Molecule: small nucleolar RNA, 69 nt
Organism: Salarias fasciatus (jewelled blenny)
Lineage: Eukaryota; Metazoa; Chordata; Actinopteri; Blenniiformes; Blenniidae
Source: Ensembl
UGCGAGUGAUGACAUCCUGUUUCCCUGACAUGACUGUGAGGGUAAAAGCUGAUUUAAUGAGCCUGACUC